This 1563-nucleotide long non-coding RNA is filed under the name Homo sapiens (human). Its description in RNAcentral is "HSALNT0006023". Lineage: Eukaryota; Metazoa; Chordata; Mammalia; Primates; Hominidae. The record is from RNAcentral.
GCUGAAUCCAGAAAAGGGAAGAUUGGCAUCCAGAGUGUUUGGAGAGUGGGCCCAUAAGAGAACAUUGUGUGUGUAUGUGUGUGUGUGUGUGUGUGUGUGUGUGUGUGUGUGUGCACGUGCACGCACGUAUGUGUUGGGGGCUGUGUAGCUUCUCCUAACUUCACCAUGCAGAAGUCAAGGAAACGGUUACAGAGGCAAAAUGUGGGAGUAGCUAAUGGCAAUGGCCCAGAGAGAUGAAAAAAUGUGAGAAAACCAAAGCUUGGAGGUAGGAACUUUCCGAUUCUUUUGGAGUAGACUAAGGUGACUUAAGUAGGAAAAGAACGCAUAGCCAGUAACUCUCCCAACAGAACUGGAUUCGUGCCUGGGGUGAUUCAGGAUGUCCAGUUAAGCUGGGAAAUACUGAUUCCACUGAUCCCCUUCAUUCACUCAGAGCAGACCGAAGACUGUGAGACUUCCUCCCCACAGUGAGCUAAAAGGACGCUUUUGUCAGAGUGGGGAAAUAAAAGGGCUUUAUGGGAAGGAAGAUAAGAACAGAUGAGUCAGAGGUUUCUGCUUAAUGGUGGUACAGCCAAGCAGACAGGCAAGUAAGUGGCCAUACUGCUACUGCCUCAUGUAGGAUCCGGCAGGCUGGUGGGUUAUCAGUCCUCACGUGGGACCCUCCCACCAUGGCAGCUGAGCACAUCCAAGCUGGGGGAUCCUGAAGAGACCUUCACCUGGGUGCCACGUGGAAGAUUGGCCAGCACCAUUUUGACUCCUGUGGAUGGCACCCAAACUGCACCUGGUCACCUGUCUACAUUCAGAUUUAGAUGAAAGCCACACCAUGGAGGCAGCCAGAGGCCCAUGGGAGAUGUCUGGAUUCGCAGAGGAAUAGCUCCAUGUGAUGCAAACCUUGACUAAUGGGAACAGGAAAAGGGAGGAAACCAGGAAGAUAAAUCUCCCUCCCUUCUCAUUGCUCCUUGCAACCCUUCCCACUUGAAGCAUGACCACAUUUAAUGAACAACCUGCUGUGUCUCUUGGAAGCUUGCUGCAAGGCAGCAAUCAGCACAAUAACAUUGUAUUGUAUCUUCCUCUGCUUCACUUCUCUUCCUCCCUCACCCUCACUGCCCUGAGCUGGCACAUCCCAAAGAAAGCAUUACCACAUUAAUCCUUGUCUCAGACUCUGCUUUCAAGAGGAUCUAGGUGAAGGAAAUUCCUAUUACUCCACCUCUUCAUCACCUCUUCAAAUGUCAGACUUUAAAAAUGGUGUCAUUUUGUUGAGUGUAUCUCAUUGUGGUUUUAAUUUGCAUUUUCCUGAUUAUGAAUGGGGUUGGCUAACUUUUCCUAUGUUUAUUGGAUUUCUUCAUUUUUGAAGUGCUUGUUUAAGUUUUCUACUAAUUUUUCUAUUGGGUUGUCUUUUUUUUUUCUUUCUUUCUUUUUAAGACAGAAUCUUGCUCUGUUGCCCUGGCUAGAGUGCAGUGAUGUAAUAAUAGCUCACUGAAACCUCGAACUCCUGGGCUCAAGCAAUUAUCCCAUCUCGGCCUCCCAAGUAGCUGGAACUACAGGUGUGCACCACUACCACCAUGC